AGACUCAUGACUUCAUCCUGGAAUUUAAAGGUGCAUAGAAUCAUCAUUACAUUUGCAUGAUGAAAGCUGCUGCAAAACACUAAAAUUCAAGUGAACAGAAGUACUCGUGUGGAUGGAUCUGAAGACGAGUUAAUAGAAAGGAAAACUGUCAGCAAGAACCACAUGGCCCACGGGGGAACUUCACCGCCAGCACCCUAAAUUCCGGCGGCCGUUAAUUGAAAAUCAUGUCAAGU
This is a long non-coding RNA of Culex quinquefasciatus (southern house mosquito), 233 nucleotides long. RefSeq lists it as uncharacterized. The transcript has 3 exons. The record is from RefSeq and is a predicted model, not a curated record. Lineage: Eukaryota; Metazoa; Arthropoda; Insecta; Diptera; Culicidae.